GCCAGCGCCCCAGCACCGCGCGCGUCACCUCCGCCUGCUCCAGCAGACCUAACUCAAGUGCUGUCCUGCUAACUACAUGGGACCUGCUGAAACCGAAAUGAACCGAGAUUCCAGUUCUGUGCAGAGAUGGCCGGACCUGCGUUGGGGACAUGCCUGGACCACCCAGCCCACUGGCCUUCAACUGGUCUGAAAGCCCCUGCCUGAGACCUUCAUUUCCAAGCCCGGGCACAAGUCUGGCUCUCGAGGACCGGGGCACUCCCUGGAGGACCCACCUCCAUCCCAGCUGUCGGAAGAAAAACUGCUGUUACUCACGUCGCAUGGGCCUCUCCCUAGGACCCGCUGGCCCCUCAAAGCUGCGACAGCACAGACGUGGCCUGGCACCCAGCAAGGCCUCUGACACCUGAUACACACGGUGGGGCCAGGCCGGAUGGAGAGCAUCGCUGAGCCUGCCUCUGGUUCCAAAGCUUGGGAGGCUCCUCUGCGAGGCCACCUUGUGGUGCAGAGUGGAUCUGCAGCUUGAGGGGAGCUCCAGGUCCCAGCCAGAGGGGGCGUGGACUUGGCGGCAGCUCCACCCAGCUGGUGUCAUGGGCGUUCUGUGGGCAACAGGGUUUGGACCCUAAAAGUGCCAGUUCUGUCUGCUGCUCUGAUCCGGAACAAGAGCGUCUGUCUCGUAGCAGCUACACGUGUGACACAGAAGCUCUCGUCAUUUCACACGCGGUGUGGAAAACAUUCUCUAUGUCACAGGCACACAGAACCCACAUUCACCUAUCG
This 771-nucleotide long non-coding RNA is filed under the name Pan troglodytes (chimpanzee). RNAcentral's name for it is "long non-coding RNA NONPTRT013889". The record is from RNAcentral. Lineage: Eukaryota; Metazoa; Chordata; Mammalia; Primates; Hominidae.